RNAcentral lists this small RNA (70 nucleotides) under Halpernia frigidisoli. RNAcentral's name for it is "Flavo-1 RNA". It matches the Rfam family "Flavo-1 RNA". Lineage: Bacteria; Pseudomonadati; Bacteroidota; Flavobacteriia; Flavobacteriales; Weeksellaceae. The record is from Rfam by way of RNAcentral.
AACUAGCCCUGAUUGUAGUGGAAAUCCUUUUUUUGCAAAAAAAAGAUUGUAGCGGAAAGCAGGUUCCCGG